This 3258-nucleotide unclassified non-coding RNA is filed under the name Hevea brasiliensis (rubber tree). The record is from RNAcentral. Lineage: Eukaryota; Viridiplantae; Streptophyta; Magnoliopsida; Malpighiales; Euphorbiaceae.
AAAAAAUAAAAAAAAAAAAAAAAACUAAAAAUAAAAAAAAAAAAAAAAUUUCCACACAUGAAUAAAUGAUAUUAAAAAUUAACAAUGGACUGGACAAGAUAAUAUAGAGUGCUCCGACACCGAAUGUGGCAUACUUUGUUCGGCUACACUAUAAAUGGGUGAGGAGUGUUACAAGUGGAGCAUCAAUGCUUUCAAUUUCAGCUACACUAUCAGAUAAGUUAUCCAAAGGUACUUGUGAUGAGACUUGAUGAUUGCCAUUCAAUGGAGGAUUAGGUAUUUCAGAUUCCAUCUCCAAAGAUGUAUCAUUUGGCAUGCUAGAUAUACCUUAAAUGGGUUCAACACGUGCUUGACUCAGCAACCCUCUAACAACCCUCUAAUAUCAUGAUUAGAGGAACCAGACGUAGAACACUCGGCAAAAUGUCUUGAUGAAAGACUUGGUUGCUUCUUCUUUACACUAUAACUUGCCUUUUUCUUUAGCAAUAAACCACUAGAGCCAUUGUUCAACCUGUAAUUAUAAUCAAUUACAACCAUGUAUGAUAUAAUUAAAAGAAUUUAAUAAAAAUGAAUGCCUAAUCAUGAUCAAAAAAGAAAAUUUAGAUUAGAUUACCUAGACACAUUAGGCAUCUCAAAUCAAACAUCAUCAUCAUCAUUAAGGGUGUUUUGAACGUCAUAACUAUUCACAUAAGAAACUAAUGUGUCAUCUAAGUCAUCAGUUUCAACAUCAUCUAUAAAAUUAUCAUCUUCAUCACCUUCAGGAAGUUUUAAAAUUAGUAAUGACUCAAUAUCUUCUGGAUCAACAUUGACUCUAAGUAGCAAAUGUAAUUUGUCCUCCUUAAUUUCAAUGAACUUCAUUCUCUUGAUAUACUUCAUGCUCUACAACUUGCAACUAAUCCACAUCCAUAGCUUCAUUCUAUAACUCAUCAACAUCAUAUAUAUAUGCCUAUGUUGAAAUGGUCGUACCACUCGCCACUCACUUCCUAAUUAUGGAUCAUCUAUAUAGAAAAUUUGUUUUGCUUGGUGUGCUAAAAUAUAAGGGUCAUUUUGAUACCAACGCCUAGUAAUCUUAACACUAACUAUAUUUCCUUCCUUUUUAACUCCUUUUUUUUUUUUUUUCAAGGUCAAACCAACUACAUUUAAAAAGAAGAAUGUGUUUGUCAUUAACAUAAUCUAACUGAAUAAUAUCAAUAAGCUCCCCAUAAAAAUCAAUAGUCCCGUUAUUAUGGUUUCCUUCAACUGCAAUCCCACUAUUUUGACUUGUACGACGAUGAUCGCAUUUUUUUAUAAGAAACCAAACAUCGGUCACAAUGCAGCUUGUGUACAUUUUAACACACGUAUGGAACAUAUGAUAACGAAUAAAGAGCUUCAAUGGAUUCUGAUGGUUCUUUGUAAUAUGAGCGUGCCAUCUAAACAUAAAAGAUAUUAAAAUAAACAUUUUGUUGUUACCCAUAAAUCUACAUUAGACAUAGGCAUAACACAUGCUUACACGUUGGAACCACAUCAAAAAUUGUUCUUUAUGUCUUUGAUCUAUAUUUCAACAACCUUGCAAUUGUAGCUCUAUCUUAUGCUCCCUAGGAAAAAGUUAUUAGAUGAUUAAUAAAUUAAUUAAUUUUAGAGCAAAUGGAAAAUAAUAUAUACUUUAACGAAAUUAGUUAAUAUAUACUUACUCAAAAUAGGACUCUACUUCCUAAUAAUUUUGCAAGAUAUACCAUUAUGCCAUGUUGAAUUCUUCAUUUGAUAACUCAACAAAUUUUGUGGCACCAAAUGGGCGACACUUUUGUGAGAAUAUAGAUAACCCACUAGAAUUAGUGAUAUCAUAGUUUCCCUUAUCUCGAUUAAUCGUGUCUCAAUACCAUGCAAAUACAUCGAAAAAAGUUUAAACACUCCUUUGCAACAUACGCUUCUGUGAUCGAACCUUCUGGAUGAGCUUUGUUUCGAACACUUUAUUUUAAUUCACAUAAUGACCUAUUGAAAAAAGUGAUUGGAUUAUGAGAUUGCUAUUUGAAAUUUUCUAUUGGGAAAAUUUAGUAAAGAAUUGUGUUACCUUUGAAUGAGAUACAUCCAUCUAAAUUGAACUAGUCGACCAAGUAAUGCCUCAUUAGGUAAAUGAAUAGCUGAAUGAACCAUGACAUCGAAAAAAGCAGGUGGAUAGAUCAUUUCCAGAUUGCAUAGUAUGAUUAUGAUAUCUUUCAAUUUCUCCACCACUUUUCUAUUUAAUAUUUUGUAACAUAAUUGCUGAAAAACAUCACCCAACUCGACUAAUAAGUUGGAUACCUCUUUGUUUACGCACCCACGAAUACUAACAGUAGUAUUCAUUGCAAAAGAACAUGACAAUCAUGACUUUUCAACCCCGAUAUCUUUUCAUCUAACUCUUAUCCAUUUUAUAUAUAACCAAAUUAAAAAUAGAAAAUUCCAACAAAAUAAUAAAUGAAUCAGCUAAUUAAUAACCUAAUUAAUGGAUAGUUUUAUAUAUAACCUAAUUAAUAAAAUUUAAAAUAAUAAAUAAAAUAUAAAUUAAUGGAUAAUUUUAUUGAUAAUAAUUUAUUAAAAAUAUAAUUUUAUUCUUUUUGAGAGAAAGGAAGGAUUGCUUGAGAUCCUGCCAUGUGGAGAUUCCACUUUUUCCUUCAAUUUUCUUCUUCCUUUAGCUUUAUCAAAGAUCAUUUAACAAAAACUUAUCUCCCUAUUUUCAUUUUGGACUGAAACCUUGAGAGCCCCACUCUAAGAUAACUAAAUCCUCCUUUUCCUUCUUUCUCAUUAUUAUAAUGCAUCAAUGAGAAGACUGUAGAGAUUAAAGGAACUUGCUUACAAGUGAGAGGAGUAGGGUUCGUGUAAGAGUUCUUCACCUUAAUUAUUUUAUUUUCUUUUAUUUUACUCAUUUCUGAUGGAGGCUAAAAUUUAUAUGUUAAGGUGAAGGAAAAAGCAAGCGUUAACCAUGGAGAAAUGGGUUGUUAAAAAUGGGUUCAAAACCUUAGUUGAGUUAUUAACUAUUAUAUAUUUUCUUCUUCUUAAUCAUAUCCAUAUUUGGAGAAAAUGUAAAUGAAAAAUGGUUGAAUGGGUGAACUGAUUAGUAUACGUUAAUGAUUUCUAUGGUCAAUUAAGGCAAGGGAAGGAGACUUUAAUGCUCUGGGGAGGAAUCAAAGGCCUUGUUUUAAUAAAGUAAAUGUAAUUUAUAGAAAUUUCAAUUAUGAUUCAAUUGUUGGAAUUUUUAUUUGGGUAAGAGUACAUCUACAGGAUCUUAUAUUUAAGUAUAUGUGUCAAGGU